This is a long non-coding RNA of Pseudopipra pipra, 3028 nucleotides long. RefSeq lists it as uncharacterized. NCBI's taxonomy places the organism in Eukaryota, Metazoa, Chordata, Aves, Passeriformes, Pipridae. The record is from RefSeq and is a predicted model, not a curated record. The transcript is spliced from 10 exons.
UGUGUCUUCAAAGUACCAAGAAGGAAAGGCAAAUUGAGUUUCAGCUGUAAAAGAGGGGCUAGAUGCUUUUAGAGAACCCCACAACUUGUAGAUCAAAUUUAUCCUUGCAGAGAACACAAUACUGCAAAAAACCAGUAACUUGUAACAACAUUGCUUUUGUGGAUGUUUUUAAGAUGCAAGUCUUUGUGCUGUAAUUCUUAUGUAACAAAUCUAACUCAGACUGGAAGAUUUUUUUUUCUGAUUUUAGACAAACAGAUUUUCUAUACUGAAGGUGAGAGAAAAAUAUUUUAACAUGUUUGUUUAUAAGCAAUGCUGUGUUUUUUAAAUUCUAUAAAGUUAAGAUAUCACCAUUUGUGCAGAGUUUAUCCUAUUCGUCCUUGUUUCACAGUAGUGCAUUUGGUAACAAAGAGAAAACUUGUACAGACCUCAUACUCCUUGUCUUGUCCAUGCCAAUCUUGUGGCAUUGUCAUAGACAAUGACAUCUUGUGUAUCUCCAUCUCGUUCUGUGUUUUCCCACUGUGCAGAUAACGACUGGCCUCCACUGGGAUUGAUUUACACAUGAAAUGUUUAUUCUAAUUAUUUUCCUGUUCUUAAUUAUGCAGCAUCACUGUGCCUGGCCAGCAGCAAGACCUGGUGAAAACUUCAGAGCUUUGGGCCUGGUGUAUUUCUGCUUCUUGUGUCAGCCCUCCCGGGUAGUGGCAGGAAACAGUAUCUCCCAAACCUGUCAAAUCUAUCACUCUUCGAGUUCAAAUGUUGACAGGCCUUGGUAAAGAGCACUUCAAACAGAUCUGUUCUCUGUCACUGCCAUGACAGUAAUACAUGAAUCCACAAUCACAAUGAUUUUAGAAACAGACAGACAACAUGAACUAUAAAAGCCUGAUCCUGUUAGAGCUUUCUGGGAUGAGUAUUAUAAAGGGAAUGUUUCUGCACUAACAUUUUGGGACUAUUGCACGUCUCUGAUCCUGAAUCUCUUGUUUCUUUUGGAUGUCUUGAUUCCUUAUCUUGACUCUUCAAAUAUUCUCCAUUUUUCUUGUGCCUACCUCAGACUUCUUGCUAGAGUUUCAGAGCCUUUUACUGAAAAUGUUGCCACGUUGUGUCUAGAUAUCCAAUACUGUGAUCAAUUGCUACUCCCCCUCCACCGAGCUGAAUGCCAGAGUCACAACAGAUGUCUGAGAAAAGGCAACAUCGUUUAUUAUCUCACUGGACAUUAAAGAUAGAACCAUAUUUAUUGUAAGAAGAAUUUGGUGGCAGAAGAAGCCCUUGAAUGCUAAUAACAUCCCAUGACAAAUCUGUGCUAGAGAUUAGUGAUGCCAACAAUAUCUGUGAGCAUGGAUGGCCAGCUGCAUGUGUAAUUUCUGGUUUGACUGUGUAGUGAUGCACUUGAAGCACUUGCUAAGUCAAAAAAAUGUAGGGUUUUUUCCAUUCUCUGGUCCUUCGUACACUGUUCCUAAUAGGCAUAGCCUAAACUUCUGUGCUGUGUUUUGAUCCAGAGUCCUGAAUAUUUCUAGUGUAAAGAGUGUUCACAAGUGUUGAAAGAUGAAAUUUAUGAUUCACAUAUGACCAAAGGAAGCAAGUUCCUAUUUGGGUCAGGAAGAACUGUCUUGCUAUUCACCGUCUCAUGGGCUCAGUGUUUACCACCUAAGCACCAGUGACUUACCAUAGUAGGCUCUGUGCAGAGGUUGGCACAUUUCUCUCUUCCUGUAUAAUGUGAACUUUUCACAAACAAGCUUAAAAGAGGCCUACAAACUCCCCUCUGUUGGAGGUGGGGAAGGAGAUUGGGAGCCAUGGGAACAGGUUCAGGGGAGAGGACAGAGAAAAGGAACUGCAGAAGCCCACAGGGAUCUUCCCCAGAAGGGAUGGUAUCUCCAACUGCCCUUGUGGAGUGAGUUUUUCAGUUUAGAGCACAAUGUCUGGUGAAAGACAAACUGUUCUGUGAUUGCUGGACAAUCAAAAGACAGGGUUGAGAGAAUUUACUGCAGAGGAGUUUAUUCUUUUGACUUGUGAGAGAAAUCCUGGGGUCUGAAGAAAAUUACUGUGGAGCCAAACAGGAGGACAAGUCUACAGGCUGCCCUGGUCACAUGCCAAGAUGAAUAGAAGGAGAGAAGACUUAUUUUACUGAUGGAAGCAGGGGUUGGAUAGAUGAGCUCUCUUUGCUUUCUCCAGUAAGAGAUGAAGACAUAAAGUUGAAAUGAGCUGCCCAGGUUUGUGCUGCAGAUUGCCAAAGGACAAAAUCUUAUGCUUCUGAGCUCAGCAAUGAAGUUUUAAUCACCCCAACAUACAUCUUUCCACAAUAUAUAUUUUUCUGUCUGCCGAAGACAUAAUGGCUGCUCCUUUUAUGGGAAACCAGGAUUUAAUCCAAGGUCUGAUUUAAAAGUCCUGCUGCUGUUUGUUAUAGUAACAGCUUCUCAAUAGCAAGGAGUUAAGGCAAACAAAAUGACAGAAUCGGAGACCAUCCAAUGUCCUGCUCUGAUGAGUCAUAAUGAUUUUAUCACUUAAAUAUAGAAAAACUGUUUAGAGUCUGGGUAGGUCACAACUUUCAAGCAGGACUAAAAGUGGGAAUUUGUCCUGUAUUUUAAGGCCAUGAUCCCCAAAGAUGUUUCUUUUGGGUGGUGUUCUAAGCUUUCUAUAAACUUGAUUGACUGGAAGCAGUCCUCAAACAACUAAAGGCUGCUCACUAGAGACCACAGAGCACUGCUCAUAAUACCCCUGCUAGAAUAGAUCAGUAGGUACUAAUACAAAAGUCUAUUUGCACACUAUCAAGCACAGCUAAAACAGCUUGUUCACAGGUUGUCUGUCCUGUAUCUCCAUGUGGACUGGGAGGAGGUAGGUCAGGAAAGCAUCCGAUCCUCCCAGAAGUUAGGACUGCUCUUAGUGAGUGGUCCCUGACCUACACACUGAAGAAGAAUCAAAGUAAGACUGAAAUUAGGCUCACUUUCACAUUUUAACAUCAGAUCAUGGACAAUUAGUAUGUGCUGCAGAGAAAUUCUGACUGGCAGGAAGAUUAGAACAAAUUCUUAUUUAAGAAAAG